CGUGCACCAGUGGGGUCCCUUGGCCUGGCCUGUGGGAUUGGGCUGAAACAUGCUCUCCAACAUCCCCCGAGGGGUCAUGGAUUGCAGGAGGGCGCAGGCCAGGCCAAGGGACCCCACUGGGGCACA
RNAcentral lists this microRNA precursor (126 nucleotides) under Myotis brandtii (Brandt's bat). RNAcentral's name for it is "mir-9193 microRNA precursor family". It matches the Rfam family "mir-9193 microRNA precursor family". The record is from Rfam by way of RNAcentral. Lineage: Eukaryota; Metazoa; Chordata; Mammalia; Chiroptera; Vespertilionidae.